This 281-nucleotide ribosomal RNA is filed under the name uncultured Bacteroides sp. RNAcentral's name for it is "partial 16S ribosomal RNA". It matches the Rfam family "Bacterial small subunit ribosomal RNA", at positions 65 to 339 of the family's 1533-position model. The record is from RNAcentral. Lineage: Bacteria; Pseudomonadati; Bacteroidota; Bacteroidia; Bacteroidales; Bacteroidaceae.
AGGGGCAGCAUGGUCUUAGCUUGCUAAGACUGAUGGCGACCGGCGCACGGGUGAGUAACGCGUAUCCAACCUUCCGUACACUCAGGGAUAGCCUUUCGAAAGAAAGAUUAAUACCCGAUGGCAUAGUUCUUCCGCAUGGUGGAACUAUUAAAGAAUUUCGGUCAUCGAUGGGGAUGCGUUCCAUUAGAUAGUAGGCGGGGUAACGGCCCACCUAGUCUUCGAUGGAUAGGGGUUCUGAGAGGAAGGUCCCCACAUUGGAACUGAGACACGGUCCAAACUCC